GCCGGUCCUCGGUAGUGGCUCCCGGACAGAGAUGUUCCGGGUGCUUCGAUCGAAGACCGGC
Molecule: non-coding RNA, 61 nt
Organism: Streptomyces nanshensis
Lineage: Bacteria; Bacillati; Actinomycetota; Actinomycetes; Kitasatosporales; Streptomycetaceae
Source: Rfam